UUUCCGUAGGUGAACCUGCGGAAGGAUCAUUCAUAAUAAGUGUUUUACGGCACUUUUUUAAAUCCAUAUCCACCUUGUGUGCAAUGUCAGGGUUGAUUUUUCUCUCGAGAGGAUCAACCCCAAACAUCAACUAUAUCUCAACUCUUUGUCUGAAAAAUAUUAUGAAUAAACCAAUUCAAAAUACAACUUUCAACAACGGAUCUCUUGGCUCUC
This 213-nucleotide unclassified non-coding RNA is filed under the name plant metagenome. RNAcentral describes it as "partial contains small subunit ribosomal RNA, internal transcribed spacer 1, and 5.8S ribosomal RNA". The record is from RNAcentral.